UCGACGGGAGCCGCGGCCUCGGGAGCCGCGGCCUCGGGAGCCGCGGCCUCGGGAGCGACGGUCGCCGCCUCCUCGUCGAGCC
RNAcentral lists this transfer RNA (82 nucleotides) under Streptomyces narbonensis. RNAcentral's name for it is "tRNA-Pro(cgg)". The record is from RNAcentral. Lineage: Bacteria; Bacillati; Actinomycetota; Actinomycetes; Kitasatosporales; Streptomycetaceae.